CUGCCAGUAGUCAUAUGCUUGUCUCAAAGAUUAAGCCAUGCAUGUCUCAGUACAAGCCAAAUUAAGGUGAAACCGCGAAAGGCUCAUUAAAUCAGUUAUGGUUCCUUAGAUCGUACCCACAAUUACUUGGAUAACUGUGGUAAUUCUAGAGCUAAUACAUGCAAACAGAGCUCCGACCGGAGACGGAAGGAGUGCUUUUAUUAGAUCAAAACCAAUCGGUGGCGAGUUCGCUCGUCAUCGUACAACUUGGUGACUCUGAAUAACUUUACGCUGAUCGCACGGUCUCGCACCGGCGACGCAUCUUUCAAAUGUCUGCCUUAUCAACUGUCGAUGGUAGGUUCUGCGCCUACCAUGGUUGUAACGGGUAACGGGGAAUCAGGGUUCGAUUCCGGAGAGGGAGCCUGAGAAACGGCUACCACAUCCAAGGAAGGCAGCAGGCGCGCAAAUUACCCACUCCCG
Molecule: ribosomal RNA, 459 nt
Filed under: Gymnopholus vegetatus
Lineage: Eukaryota; Metazoa; Arthropoda; Insecta; Coleoptera; Curculionidae
Description: SSU rRNA
Rfam family: Eukaryotic small subunit ribosomal RNA
Source: RNAcentral